ACAGGCCUAACACAUGCAAGUCGAGGGGCAGCACAAGGAGCAAUCUGAGGUGGCGACCGGCGCACGGGUGAGUAACACGUAUGCAACCUGCCUGUAAGCGGGGAAUAACCCGUUGAAAGACGGACUAAUACCGCAUAAUACUAAAUUACUGCAUGGUAAUUUAUUUAAACAUUUAUGGCUUACAGAUGGGGCAUGCGCAUGAUUAGCUAGUUGGAGAGGUAACGGCUCCCCAAGGCAACGAUCAUUAGGGGUUCUGAGAGGAAGGUCCCCCACACUGGUACUGAGACACGGACCAGACUCCUACGGGAGGCAGCAGUGAGGAAUAUUGGUCAAUGGACGAGAGUCUGAACCAGCCAAGUCGCGUGCAGGAAGAAUGUCCUUAAUGGAUUGUAAACUGCUUUUGCAGGGGAAUAAAGUGCAUCACGUGUGAUGUUUUGUAUGUACUCUGCGAAUAAGGAUCGGCUAACUCCGUGCCAGCAGCCGC
Molecule: ribosomal RNA, 484 nt
Filed under: uncultured bacterium
Lineage: Bacteria
Description: bacterial SSU rRNA
Rfam family: Bacterial small subunit ribosomal RNA
Source: RNAcentral